UCUGUCUCCUCCAUGUACAUUAAUCAGAACCAAAUCACCACUGAAGAGGCUCUCUCUUAAAGGGAAGUAACAUGCCAACACAUCCUGCUGAGCCGUCAUUUUGGCAUGUAUACUCCCAGCAACUGGAACCAGCAACAUGGAGGAGCUGCCAUUUCAAGAACUUCUUGAGCUUGGCCUUUGGCUCCUGUUUCAGAAUGCAGACAGAGUUUCCAUGAGAUACUGCUGCAACCUUGUCUGUGGGUGCGUCCUCCACACUAGCACAAAGACUGUCCCAGAUUAGAAGGUGAAAAAAGCAGACAAGGGAAGACAUGUUCUGUGAUUUGAUGCGUUCCUCCGAGACUGACAGGGCUCAGCUGAAUGCAUGGAGGCUUACACUGUCGGAGAGCAUGCGCACCAACCAAGAGGGGAGGAAAGCAUGCAGGGAACAAAAGUGUAACAUGCAAGAGGAGAUGUUGUGGCUUAUGGGGCAGCAAACAGACAUGUUGAGGCAUCUGGCUGAAGUGCAGGAAAGGCAGCUAGACCUUAGAGUUCUGCUGCACCCAAUGAUGAACCAGCUGCCCUCCUCACCAAGUUCCAUAUCCUCCACUCCCAGACAUCCUAGAAUGCAGGGGGGAGGGGAAGGGAGCUCCGUUAGCCCUUGAAUUCAACUCCAGGGGAUGGUUCAUGGAGCAGAAGGCUCUCAUUCCCAUAGCUUUGAUUGCUAAACAAUGCUAUUGUAAUAAGCUACGUGUCCUUGCCCCUCCCCCCAUGUUAUCAGGCCCUUAGA
Molecule: long non-coding RNA, 766 nt
Organism: Chelonia mydas (Green sea turtle)
Lineage: Eukaryota; Metazoa; Chordata; Testudines; Cheloniidae
Exons: 3
Source: RefSeq, a predicted model, not a curated record